This 177-nucleotide non-coding RNA is filed under the name Bigelowiella longifila. Lineage: Eukaryota; Cercozoa; Chlorarachniophyceae. The record is from RNAcentral.
CUGAGGACACGCUCUAUAUUUACAUGAGCCAGCGACAAUGAAAAGCUUUGCAAUCAAGCAAAUCGAAGAGAUGGGAAUCAAAAUUCUACAGCACAUCUAUUGCUCCUUCUUAGAUCUUUUUUUUUUCUUAGUCGAUCCCUUUUUCGAUUUUUUCUUUUUAUCUGUAUCCAAAUUGAG